Molecule: non-coding RNA, 19 nt
Filed under: Arabidopsis thaliana (thale cress)
Lineage: Eukaryota; Viridiplantae; Streptophyta; Magnoliopsida; Brassicales; Brassicaceae
Also listed under: 2 other names
Source: RNAcentral
GAUCCUUCGAUGUCGGCUC